AGAGAGAGAGAGAGAGUUGACCUGGAUGAGACGACAGCUUCAUGGAUCUUCUUGUAAGAAUCACGCGGAGCUCGCCUUCUCUCCCUUUGAAAAUGCAUAUCAAAACCGCAGCUCUUUUCUUCCUCAUUUCCUUCGUCAUUGAAGGCUUCGGAUUGAAGGAGUCGAGUUUGAUUGGGCAGUUUUCCUUGAUGCGAUCUUCAUCCAUGGCGAUAAUGUUUAUUAAUUUUCGAACAAAAAUUGCUAGCAUUUAUAAAGAAAAGUGAUAAGUGGAUGUAGGUUUCUAGUUAUGUCGCGACACAUUGUAGAUAGAAAAAAGGGUGAAGAAUGAAAUCUUGUGUUGUUCGGAAUAAAAAAAAUGGUGAUUUUGAUUGAAGAUUCUUGAUUGUGAGGAGAGAAUUUUUGGGUUGAGAAUAUGGCGUGGCUUGAAAAAGUAUGAACCCAUUACUUUAAGAAUUUGAUUCCUACAAUUUAUAACGACAUCAUGAGUUUUUGGUCGAUAGAUCCUCUUUGCAUACUGUGUUACAUUUAAUAUUUUCGUAUUUAUACGCCGUAUGUAUUGGACGAUAUAUUUUGUACCUAAGUUGAAAUAGAGUUGAAAAAUGAAAUACCAUAGACUUGUCGAUUUAGAUUAUUUAUUUAUUUAUUUAAAAGGAGGGUUGAUAAUAGUUUUCAUUUCUCUCUCGAUUGAUUCAUCGUAUUAAUGAUUAAAUGGAAACGUUUUACCAAUUGAAUUGUGGUGAUCAUGUUUUUAAAAGAUUAAAUACUUUCUUCGUCCAUCAAAAAUAUGAUAAUUUUUAUGUUGCGGACUAUUAUAUAUGAAAUGAAUGGUUGAGAUUGAAUUAAGGAUGUUUUUUUUUUUUGUAAAUAAGAUACUAUUUGUUAGGAUAAAAAAAAAGAAAAAAAAAAGUGGGAUCAUAUCUUAAAAUGGAAAGUGUCAUAAUUUUUGUGAACACCCAAAAUGAUAAAAGUAUUGUCAUAUUUUUCGUAGAAGUAGGGAGUAACUAUAAAUAUAAUUAUGUUGUGAAUUAUAAUUAGGAACAUUCUUAAAAUAGGGAAAUCAAAUUUAGAUAUAAGUAUUCCAAACACAUUAUAAGUCGAAAGAAGAUAAUCAAUCUAAUCCGAUUGAUUAUGUAUACAAAUUAAAUUAAAGUAUAGUGUGAAUUAUCAUGUAUACAAUUCGAUCGAUUCCCACAAAAUUUGAAGGACAAAAUAAAGGCUUAAUUAAUUUUUAUUUAUUACUGGUAAGGUCCCAGGUCUAAAUAUUUAAUAGUAUAUGCUAAUUAGCCCCACUCCACUAUACUUAGCCUGAAAAGAGGGUUAACUACAUUAAUCCUAACUAUAUACAAAAAUAGUUAAUCUCACUGUUGUAUCCACUUUCCUACACUGCAUUAUUGUUGUCUAUAUAGAUACUAUCAUUGUUAAUUAACACCAACCCUGUCCUAGCUAAGGACAUAACCACGAAAAUUUGAUGCAAAAUUUAAUUAAGUGGAAAAAAGAAUUAAACUCCUUAAUUCUGAGAUUGACUUUCCUAAUAUCGUGGGAAAGUGAGUAAAUAAUUGGGUAAUAUUCUUCAUGACAAAAUAUAUAAUUAUAAUUAAUUUUGAAACAUUAUAUAUAAAAAUCAAAACAUCCUUGGAAAGAUGAAGGAUGAUGAGUCGGAUAUAUUAAUGCUACAAUUUGAGUGGUAGAAUAAUUAGUAAGUCUAGUCACAACUCACAAGUGGGAUUAGAUGAGGUAAGAGGCGUAAGCCUACAUCUUAUCCAAUAGAAUAUCCAGUGCUUUAUUAUAUUAUUGAAUUGAAUAAGUAUUUAAUGAAUGCCACCAUUUUAGUUUAACAUUGUUUGCAAUGCUAUUCAUUAAAAUAUAAUGUUUUUUGUAUUGUAUAUCAGUUGGCCUAUUAGCUCAGUUGGUUAGAGCGUCGUGCUAAUAACGCGAAGGUCGCAGGUUCGAAACCUGCAUGGGCCAAUUUUUGUUUUUUGUGUUCUUUUCCUGAAAUUUUAAUUUUUAAAAUUACUUAUUGCUUUUUAAAACAUUAAUCUACAUAANNNNNNNNNNNNNNNNNNNNNNNNNNNNNNNNNNNNNNNNNNNNNNNNNNNNNNNNNNNNNNNNNNNNNNNNNNNNNNNNNNNNNNNNNNNNNNNNNNNNNNNNNNNNNNNNNNNNNNNNNNNNNNNNNNNNNNNNNNNNNNNNNNNNNNNNNNNNNNNNNNNNNNNNNNNNNNNNNNNNNNNNNNNNNNNNNNNNNNNNNNNNNNNNNNNNNNNNNNNNNNNNNNNNNNNNNNNNNNNNNNNNNNNNNNNNNNNNNNNNNNNNNNNNNNNNNNNNNNNNNNNNNNNNNNNNNNNNNNNNNNNNNNNNNNNNNNNNNNNNNNNNNNNNNNNNNNNNNNNNNNNNNNNNNNNNNNNNNNNNNNNNNNNNNNNNNNNNNNNNNNNNNNNNNNNNNNNNNNNNNNNNNNNNNNNNNNNNNNNNNNNNNNNNNNNNNNNNNNNNNNNNNNNNNNNNNNNNNNNNNNNNNNNNNNNNNNNNNNNNNNNNNNNNNNNNNNNNNNNNNNNNNNNNNNNNNNNNNNNNNNNNNNNNNNNNNNNNNNNNNNNNNNNNNNNNNNNNNNNNNNNNNNNNNNNCUGAAAUUUUCUUUUCGAAAUUAUUUACUGCUCCACCCAAUUUUCUUAUUUUUCUGUGUUCUUUUCCUGAAUUAUUUACUGCUCCUUUUUUCUCAAUACGAUAAGAUAUACGUAUGAUUAUAUGAAGUGUUAUCUCCGAAUUUUUUCCUUAUUUUUUUGGAUUUUUACUUUUUUUCUUGUUAUUUUUUCCUGAAAUUUUCUUUUCGAAAUUAUUUACUGCUCCUCUUUUUCUCAAUACGGCAAGAUAUGAGACGUUUAAUAUGUUGAGUCGUUGACUAUAUAUUAUGUACCUUUUUAUGGAUUGAUAACAUUCUUUUCAAACCUAUAUUCGUAACAAAAAAAAAUAGUAUACACUUCAGUCAAAAAAAAUAAAAAAAAUUAAUAUACACUAGUACUCCCUCCGUCCCGCGAGUCUUGACACGUUUUCCUUUUUGGGCCGUCCCACGAAUCUUGACACGUUUCCUUUUUUGGCAAUAAUUAUUAAAUUCUCUCUCCUACUUUAUCACCUUUAUUAUAUUCUCUCUCAUACUUUAUCACUUUUAUUACCUUCUCUCUCCUACUUUAUCAAUUUUAUACUUUAUUAAUUACACACUUAAAACACUAAUCUACAACUCCUUAAUUCCCGUGCCGAACCCAAACGUGUCAAGACUCGCGGGACGGAGGGAGUAAUACUUUUGAAAAUACUCUCCUUUAUUAUUAUACGGGCUGAUAUGAAGAAAUUCAUUUUAUUAUUUUAGGAUCGAUACAAAUGUACCUAUACUACCCUAAAGAAGAAGAAAAGGAUAUAUAUUUUUUUUAUUAAAGAGAGAGAAUAUAUAAUCAAUAGAGUAAUUCUUCGAAUUAAAGUAUUUAAUUUGGAGGGAGAUUUUAUUAUUAAUUAAUUCAUUAUUCUAUAGCUUGUGCAUAUGCUUCACAUUCAGCUUCGUGCCCUAGCUAGCUUGGGUACAUACUAAUGAUUUGUGUUAAAACUGUGUGUGCAUGAGAAAUUAACGAAAUAUUUGAAGACUUUAGAUAAAAUGGAAACCUCAAUGCAUGGUUAUAAUUAACUUAUCAUGGAUAUUAAGAUAUAGAAUAAUAGAAACAAUAUACUCGCAUGACCAUUUCAAAGAACGAAACACAAUAUUUGACCACUAAUUAAAAAAAUACAAAAUUUGAUCAUUUUUUACGUUUUAGAAUUAUUUUGCCCUUAAUUAGGGCAGACCAAAUUUUGGUCAGAUUUGAGUUUGCGCGUGGGUUAGACACACAUGGCACUACUAGUGUCAUAUACUCAGUGCUGCACGAAUGAUACUUAUGACCAUAUUAAUGCCAUAUAUCCGCGUGCUGAUAUUAUUUAGAUGGGUAUAGUUAUAUGACCAUUUUGAACACUUUCUCAUAGGGUUUAGAUUAUUCAUUUAGGAUUUAGAUUAUCCAUUUAGGGUUUAGAUUAUCCAUUUAGGGUGUUGCACGAAUGGUAUUUAUGUUCAUAUUAGUGUCAUUAGUGCCAUAUACUCUCUCAUGUAGUGUUGCACGAAUAGGUACUUAUGGUCAUAUUAGUGUCAUUAGUGUCAUAUACUUAGAUUUUUUGUAUUCGGUUGGCACAUAUGACAUUAAUAGUGCCAUAUGUGUCUAAUCCACGCACAAACCCGAAUUCGACCCGAAUCCAGUCCGCCCUAAUUAAGGGCAAAACAGUCUUAACACGUAAUAAAUGGCCAGAUUUUAUGUUUUUUCAAUUAGUGGCUAAAUAUUGUGUUUCCUUCUUCCAAAUUACUAUUUCAAAAGCGCUCUCUAAUAUAUAGCCAAAGAUUGAAAUGGUGUUUUAUAAAUUUUGAUUCAUAAGGAACGUAAUAUAUAUGUUAUCUAAAGGUCAAACCUACAUAAAGUUUAUUUGGUGGAAUAUAUUUUUUCUUUUUCCGAGUCCCAAAAAUUAAGUUCUCCGGAGAGGGAGAGAGAAUUAUGUAGCUAAUAUGCAAAUGUCAAAUGAGAAAUAUCUAAAUAUAUAUAUAUAUAUAGAGGUGGGACUAAAAUAGAAAACUAACCUUUUAAAAUAUACAAAAUAAGAACUUAUUUUAAGCUCUUAGAUCAUUAAGAUCUACGGUUGAUUCAUCACCUUGUUGAAUGAAUUCAUGAUNAAUUAGGAACUAUUUUCACCCAUUAGAUUAUCAAGAUCUACGGUUGAUGCAUCACCUUGUUGAAUGAAUUCAUGGUCCCGAGUUCGAAUCCCAUAGAUAACAAAAUUUAUUUUCGUAAUUUAUACAUUUACACAGCGAAUUCAUACGUGUUCUACAUAGAAUUUAUAUAUUUUAGCUAGUUCUAUUUUAUAUGUGAAGAAAUGUUUAUACCGUAUCUCUCCCCAUAUAUAUAUAUAUAUAUAUAUAUAUAUAUAUAUAUAUAUAUAUAUAUAUAUAUAUAUAUAUAUAUAUCCAACUUCACUAAUUAGAGUUCCUAUCCCCUUUUCAAUAAAUAUAGCCCAAACAAGAUGUUAUAACAGGCACAACAAGGAUAUAUAUAACUUAUUAAUUUACAUUAAUUAAUACAUUAUUCUUGAACCAUGCACUACUUAUCUUGUUACUACUUAAAGUUAAAUAACAAAUUCCAACAUAUGUCACGCUAUAAUCACCAGAAAUGAAGCUAUAGCUAGGUCUUACGAUCAUGCUCACAUUUAGAAAAUUAAAAUAAGAUUUCAAUAAUUAACAUUGCAUCAUUCACACAUGCAGAAACAAAACUUUUAAGUUUAAUUCCCAUUUUAUUAAUUAUCAUGUUAAUCAACUGUCAUUACCAACACAGAAAUUUUGGACAAAAGCCAUAGUUAAUUUUAUCAUCCCAAGAAAUAUAACCAGCUAGCUAGACUUUGCAAAACCAAACAGCACAUAAAUCAAAAGUGAUGAGAAACAAAACAUUUUUGUACUAUAUAUUGUUAUUACCAAAUAAAUGUUGGUGCUACAAGACAAUCAGAAAUGAUCAAUGCAUAUAUAUAUCUUUUUCAUUAGAAACAAGUACCUCAAGAUCUCACUUAGAAUUUUUCACCUACAUUCAUAGAGUCAGAUCCAGAGUACUCGCCCCUCUUGCUUUCUCAUCACCAACAUUUACAAAAUCCCCCUUCAUCUUCUUCGCCACCCGAUCCUUGGAAGGUUCUGGAAACGUGUAGAGCGACAACCCUAAGUGUUCGUCACCAUCAUCAUCAUCGUCGUCGUCGUCUUCAUCAUCAUUUCUUGAUUCGAGCCCAAGUGAUAGAUUCAGAUCGAGUAGUUCAGCAUCGGAUGCCUUUCUCUUGAGCCCUAAUUUCUCCCUCUCUUGGCUCAGAAUUUGGGUCAAAUUUGGAGGGCUGCUUCUUUUUUCUUGAAGUUUUUGCUUCAAUGAGUCGAUCUCAAUAGGGUUUUGUAUGGUUUGACCUAGCCAGGGUUCUUGCUUGUGAAUUAGCCCUAAUUUCUCUUCUUUCAAGCGGGUGUCGUCGUUUCGCCACGCUGAUCCGUUGAGAGAGGGGAGUCUAGUGUAAUGGCUGCUCAAGAAUCUCUCUGCGUAGAACCCUGGUCUUGUUAUGCUUCUUGAAUUCAGCCCUAUUGCUGAAUUGUGCAUCCAAGUGGGAUCUCCAUACCUUGAGAAAAUUAAUUUGGGGUUAUUUGAAGAAAUAUUGAAUUAGUGACUAACAUUUUGUAACAAAGUAAUGAAUUAACCCUAGCUAAAAGCACGCGCGCACACACACAAGAGAAGAGGGAGCAUCAGUGUGCGUGUGUUGUUGGUGGAAUGGUUAAUGCCGUCUAAGGUUAAAGAUCUUAAGUUCUAAGUUCAGAGUCACACGAUCUUUCAAAAUAUUUGUUCACACAUAAAGAAAAUGAAAAAAGAAUUUCUUUGCAGAUCCCAUUUAUUAGUAGUACCUGAGGUUGGAAUUUGGCCUUUGAUUAAAGCUUGGAAGAAGAGGGAGCUGGCUUAGAUUGAAUAUGUUCCGAUCUACACCUUCCAUGAAUUUUAGCCCUAUAAGGAAAAGGGUUUUUCAGAUAUAUAUCGGACUUCAAAACCUUAGUAACAUGAGAGAGCUAGAGAGAGAGAGAGAGAUGUACCUUGGUUGGAUUCAUCAGUCUUCUUGCUUCUAUACAUCUGUAAAAUCACAACGACAAGAUUCCACACUCAAAUUAAUUCAUCUCUCAUAUAGUUUUUUUNUUAAAAUUAUUUUGGUUUAAAGUUUCUACAAACAACCGAUUUAAUCAGCUCCACUAACCUGCAAAUGGCUCUUGACAUGAGCAAUAUUCAGCCCUUUGAUGCCCAUCAAUUGAAGCACUAAUUUUGGCGUAGCUCCUGCAUCAAAUUUAGAACAAAUAUGAGAUCAAAAUUCAAACAUUUCCAACCACUCAAAUCACUUCCAAUACUAAGUCAAAAAUUAAUCUGAAUUAAUGACUUGAAUUAUAUAGAAGAAAUAAAUUAAUUAAUAUACACAAUUAGACUUACUAUCUUGGCCUCCGAGUCUUUCCACCGCGUGAACAAAGCGCAGGUGGAGCUCCGGCGUCCACCGCAGCCUCGGCAUCUUCGACCGGACAUAAGGCCUCACCGGCGGCUUCUUGUCGCUCUCCUCCACCGUGCUGUUGCUCGAGCUCCCUCCGUCUUUCGCCUCCUCGAAGCUUAACUCGUUUUGCUCUUCGCUCUCAUCUUCAUCAUCCAUUCCCUCGCAAGGGCUUCUUUUCAGACAUUCUUUUUCACUAAUUUCCAUUCUUUUUGUUUUUUGGGAUUUUUUUUCUCACUCUUGAAUUCACAGACAAAAGAUCACACAGAAAAUGGGAUUAAUUCACAUACUAUGAUCCAUCAAUUGAUGGGAACUAGCUAGGGCUUUCUUACAACCUCAAGAUCAUGUUGGAGAAGAUGAGAAAUCCAAGAAAAAUAGGGUGUAGAAUCUUGAUCUACAACUCUGCAUAGAUGAGAUUAAUGAAGAAACCCUAGAACGUUAGUAAGAGGAAGAUGAGAGAGUUCUUCCCUGCUCUUUCUCUUUCCUCUCUCUUUGUCCCUCAAAAACUAAUAAUAUAUCUAUGGAAAAUCAAAGGGAAUCUGGUUAAUUAAUAAACAUAUAUAUACAUAUAUAUGCAUGUAUAUAUGUGCAUGUGUGUGUGUAUGCAUGCAUAUCAAUUCUUGAUGGAGAUGUGAAGGGUUAUGCAUUCAUGUGAAGCCAGUUCAUGACUAUUCUCCACCUUGUAAAAAAAAGUAAAAAUCUCCCACGGACUUUGAAUAUAUAUUAUUUUUAAUUAUUUAUUGUGUAUAAGGUUUGGAUCAAGUUGAUCCCAUCCUUCCAUAGUAUCGUAAUAUCAUGCAUUUUUGUGUGUAAAUGUUUUUUGUGUUUAACAUUAUGCAUUUUUAUAUUUAACAUUAUAUGCACUCUUAAGGAGAUUUAGCUUAAGGGAUUUAUAUAAUCUCUUUAUAUCAUGGUUAGGCUGCUACAAACUCAUUUUAAAAUAGGAACUAUGUACUUCCUCCGUCUCACUUCAUUUGGCCCAAUUUCCUUUUUGGGUCGUGACUUGGCAUGUUUCCUUUUUAAACAAUAAAAUUUCAAUACAAUAGAUAUGAGUUCACAUACUUAAAUUAUAAUCUUAAUCUCCUUAAUAACUGUGCCAAAAAAUUAGGUCAAGUGAGAUGAGACGAAUGAGGUAUAAACUAUGAAAUUAUGAUUAGAAAAAACGUACCCCUUAUGAUAAAGUAAGUAAAUUCAUUGUAGAUCUUCAUGAACUAAAUGCCCGAGAAUAAGUCCUAAUUUAUAUUUUAAAAUGAGUUUUUAUUUUAGUCUAACCUUUUCUCUCUUUUUAUAUUUAGUGGUUCUUUCUUGAACCUCUCCUAGGGUGUGGUUCUAGAGAGAACUACAUUAUUUGUGAGAACCAUCAAAUUUAAUGCAUCCACUGUAAAAAUUAAUGCAUUCGCUGUUAAAAUUAAUGCACUCAAAAAAAUAAAAAAAAUUGCCCCUUUAAGAUUUGAACCCAGGAUCUGCAUUCAUCCAACAAGAUGAUGCAUCCACCGUAGAUCUUGAUGAUCGAAUGACUGAAAAUGAUUCUCCGUUCUUUUAUUUAGUGGUUAUUUCUUGAACCUAUAUGUUGAAGUUAAUUUUUAACUCCAGUAUUAUUUUGUUUUGCCUUUCAUCACGUUUUUGCAGGCCUUAAAACAAAGUCAAAGUUAGUUCCUACAAGAUAGGAAACAUGGAGAAAUGAAGAGAAGGGGUUGAGAGAGUUAGUUCCUAAAAUCAUGGAUAAAACCCUAAACUACCUCAACCUCCACUACUCCACUUGUUGCAACCACGUUUUCAGCCUUGAAGAGCAAGAUUGGAGUUGUCUAUAAAAGCUGAGGAAGUUCCCUCAGUCUGACCAGAGCUUACAGAGAGAAAUCAAGCCAUGUAGGGCAAUUGUGUACGAGUGUGAUUCUGUAUGUUGGGAUGACAUCAGAGUCAACACCCGUUGUUUUAUUUGUAAGGUUUCGGAGUAUUACUCUUGAACCGAGUUUUGUUUUUUAGUGAGAGUGUCGUAUGUUCAAUACCUAUGUCGUUGUAAAGGUAUUGAACGUGAGUUGUUCAUUCUCGAUUUAGUCAUUUUGCCAUGAGGCGUCUUCAAGUUAUAAUUUAUAACUUGAAGAAUUUUUGUAUCUCCUUGUGUCUUCUCCCAUUUUUAUUUAUUUCCGCUGCUUUAUACUCUGUAUUUUUGUGCGUGCUGUUCCAACACUCUGCACAACAUUUUUGUUCCAGACGAAGCAACACUAACACUAUAUAACAUGGAUAUGUAACAUCUUGUAUGCAAGGCUCUUUUUGUAUAGAUCUAUAAUAUUACUCCCACAUACACAAAGCCUUUUGUAUAGGUAAACAAGACUCUUAAGUGAUUUAUAUAGAGGUAUAGAUGUAGCCAAAUAAGAUGUUAUUUAUGUUGUAUAAAAACUAUCCUAUGCCAUGUAAAAAAAUAUUUCGAAUCAAUUUGUUUAUUUUUUAGUAGCAAACAUAAGGCGAAGUCCCGAACAAUAGACUUUACAUUUUGAAUGUAUUUUGGUAAUCAAUAUCCGAAAGAAACAGCAGCCUUGACUAAGAGACCAAACAACAAAAAAGGAGCAGAGAAGAAAGGGCUGUGAUCACUCUCCAAAACAUACACAUAUGAAGGCGCCCAUUUCUUGAUCAUGGCCUCUUGCUGCUCUGCUUUUAUAACAUUAUCCUGCGUCGUUUUGAUGUAGAUUCGGGCCACUUGCUCUUCAUCUUUCUCAGCUACUGGAAAUUUAGCUGUUACUAGUGCCUGAAUUGGGCCCGGCCUUAGCAGCAUCGCUGCUAAUGUCGCAUCCUGCAAUUCAUAUACAUCAAUCAACCAAUUAAUUAGGCAGGAGUAUUACGUAAUUAGAAGCAUUUAAUUUUAAUUACCUCCUGAGGGGAUAGGUUGUAAAUGAUCUUCCGCUGUAAUUCCCUUUUAAUAAUUGUUGAAGUCGGAGGAUUACCUUCUCCUAAUCCAAACCCAAUAUCAUAUACUUCAUUCAAUUCUCCAAAUCCUGACAAAUCUGGCACUCCCUGUAUCACACAAUGGAUUAUCCACGCACCAAAAUAUUUCGCUUACAUAUAAUAUACCACUAUCCAUCCUUAAAACUUUAAAUUAUUCAUGUGUCAUUUCUUCAAAAGUCCUAAAUUAUUUGGAUUUGGGGAAAUAAUUGCAAGCUUACUUUAUUUUAGUGAGUCUUUUUCAUUAUAUCCAACAUGUCUUAUACGAUUCUUUUUCUUUUUCACUUUUCACUACUUUCAACUUUAAUGGAAUCCAAUCAACCAUUCAUCUUUUAAUGCGUUCCUACAAUCUUAGGACAUUGAUAUAAUAAAAUGAAAAUCAUUAUCAAAAUGAUAUCCCCCUACCUUUGCAUAUUUGCAUCCAUAGUAGUAAGAAUGAAUGCCAUCAAUAAAUAGAGGGUUAAGUGUCUCGAACUUUGGAGCAUUCUUUCAAAAAAUGACUUGAAUUUCGCUUGAGAUGGUAAUUUUUUUUACCUCAUUUAUUAUAUAUUCACACAGACACCUCGCUAGUUAUUUCAAUUUUUUGGUGCCAAAUUCUCGACCAUGAGCCACAAUUUUUCUAUAAAAUUUGAAUGAAAAUUUAGAUAAUUCUUAAAAGGUGUUUCAAAAUUUAUGUCAUAAACUAUAAUACUUUUAUGCAAUGAUUAAAUCUAACAGAAAAAAAACUUUAUACAAUGAUUUAUAGUAUUAACUAUUAAGCAUAGAAGGCGUAAAUGAUAGUAGUAUAAAGUAAACAUAAACGUGAAAUGAUUUUAGUAUUAACUAUUAAGCAUAGCGUGCGUAAAUGAUAGUAGUAUAAAGUAAACAUAACACGUGAAAUGAUUUUAGAUGGAUAUAUAGGAAUAGGAAUAGGAAUAGGACUCAGACAAAGGCCUGAAUUUUGUGACAGUAGUAAUUCUUUGGAACCAUCCAAUGUUGUUGGCAUCACGUCACAUCUUAAACCUAUUCCCAGUGAAAAGCCCAAUUUUGAAUAAUUCCCUAUUCAUUUUCAAUUUAUGGUGUCUUUUAUUUUAGGGAGGGAGGUGAAAAAUACAUUCUCUCUGUAUAAAAAGAGAAUGCUUAGUGCAUAUUUAUAGGUCUUUAUGAGCUCGAAUAACUAAAUAAUUUAGAUUAUUUAUGCAUCUAAUACUUCAAAUUACUCAUUCCGUCCCACUUAUCUUGAGAUAGUUUUCAUUUUGAGCGUCCCAACUAUCUUGAGAUCUUUCUUUAUCUAACAAAAAAAUUAUCCUAUAUUCACAUUUUCACUUUUUCAUCUAUACACAAAACACUACUUUCAUAAUUCUCAUGCCAAAAAAAAGGUCUCAAGAUAGUAGGAAUGAAGGGAGUAUUAAUUAAGAAGGUUCGAGAUAAAACCAACGCUCUCUCUUAUUAUAGUAUUUCUCUUUGAAAAACAACCUCACCUCACCCUUGAGAUAAUUAAAUUUUAAUGAUACAAUAACUAUUCAUUGUAUUUUUUAUCUUACUUUUAUUAAUCAAUUCAUUUUCAAAUAUUAAUAUCAAACAAGUGCUUAGUUUGUUCGGUAUGAGUUUUAAUAAAUGUUAGGUGAAUGUGUUGUAAGUGGGGAAAGUGAGGAUAAAAGAAUAAGGCAUUAGUGGUAGGAUCAUGUCAAAAAAUGGGCUCUUCAUAUUCUUCUGAGACGGACGAACAAGAAAAGUGAGCAAUGAGCAUACUCCGCUGUGAGAGAGGGAGUAUAUUUUGGCUUUUUUUUUUUUAAGAUUGAUAAUUUUUAGAAUGGAUCUUUUUCCUAACAACUUAUUUUCUUUCUUUUAAUCUAGUUCGUGAUAAUAUUAUUACGGAGUAUACAUAUAUAUGAUAAGUAUGGUAUUUUUUUAGGGUACAUGUUUGUGUAUUAAAAUGAAGAAAGAUGCUCAUCAAAAUUACAUUGUUAGAUAAUUAAUAAAUAAUUUGUUAAAUAAUUUUUUGUAAAUAUUAUAUAUGAAUGAAGUAAAAAUAAAAAUAUACUACUUCAUCCGUUCAUUAUAAAACUUUCUAUUUUUCUUUUUGAAACGUCCACGAAAAAACUUCAUAUUAUAUUUUUGGAUUAUACCCCAUUUAUUCUAACUUUUCACAUUUUCACUACUCUAAUACUUACAAUACAUUUUUACUACUUUCAAUACACUCAACAACCUCAUUUUAAAACUCAUGUUACUUCCUCCUUUUUUUUCUUUUUUUAUCAUGACAUAGGAAGUAUGUCUUAAAAUAUAAUGAUUAUACCCCUUCGUCCACGAAAAAGAGUCAUAUUUUUUCAUUUUCUCUUGUCCAUGAAAAAUUAUCUUAUUUUACUUUUGAACCACAAAUUCUACUUCUCUCCUAUAUUUAAGUAUAAAUUAUAUUUUUAUUCUAUUUUUAAUUAAGAAUAUACCUUUUUAUUUUUUUGUACCUAUAUUGCCUCUAUAUAUAAAUUAUAUAUUUAUUUUACUUGCAACAAUUUUAAUAAUUUUAUUAAAAUUUAUAUUCAUUUUUAAACGGGAUUUUUUAAUACACGAGGGGAGUAUUUAUUAUGGACCGAGGAAAAUUACGAGUGACACUUGUGUGGAUUGAUAAAUUAUUAAGAUUUGAGUUCUUUCCGUACAGAACUUUAAUAACAAUUGUUGCAUAUAUUUUGCAAUCCUUAGAUUUUNUAUCCCCCUAACUUUGCAUAUUUGCAUCCAUAGUAGUAAGAAUGAAUGCCGUCAAUAAAUAGAGGGUUAAGUGUCUCGAACUUUGGAGCAUUCUUUCAAAAAAUGACUUGAAUUUCGCUUGAGAUGGUAAUUUUUUUUACCUCAUUUAUUAUAUAUUCACACAGACACCUCGCUAGUUAUUUCAAUUUUUUGGUGCCAAAUUCUCGACCAUGAGUCACAAUUUUUCUAUAAAAUUUUGAAUGAAAAUUUAGAUAAUUCUUAAAAGGUGUUUCAAAAUUUAUGUCAUAAACUAUAAUACUUUUAUGCAAUGAUUAAAUCUAACAGAGAAAAAAACUUUAUACAAUGAUUUAUAGUAUUAACUACUUAAGUAUAGAAGGAGUAGGGCAACAAGAUUCCGCCGUGAAAUCUCCUUUCGUAAAUGAUACUCCCUCCGUCCCAAAUAAAAUAUCUUAUUUCUUUUCGGCACGGAAAUUAAGAAAUGUGUAUAAAAUAGAUAAAGUGAGUUGGUGAAAAUUAUUUAAAUAUUAAGUAUAGAGAGACUGUGUAUUGCCAAAAUAGGAAACAUGACAUUUUGUUUGAGACAGUCCAAAAAUGAAAACAUGACAUUUCGUUUGGGACUGAGGGAGUAGUAGUAUAAAGUAAACAUAACACGUGAAAUGAUUUUAGAUGGAUAUAUAGGAAUAGGAAUAGGAAUAGGACUCAGACAAAGGCCUGAAUUUUGUGACAGUAGUAAUUCUUUGGAACCAUCCAAUGUUGUUGGCAUCACGUCACAUCUUAAACCUAUUCCCUGUGAAAAGCCCAAUUUUGAAUAAUUCCCUAUUCAUUUUCAAUUUAUGGUGUCUUUUAUUUUAGGGAGGGAGGUGAAAAAUACAUUCUCUCUGUAUAAAAAGAGAUGCUUAGUGCAUAUUUAUAGGUCUUUAUGAGCUCGAAUAACUAAAUAAUUUAGUUAUUUAUGCAUCUAAUACUUCAAAUUACUUUCCGUCCCACUUAUCUUGAGUAGUUUUCAUUUUGAGCGUCCCAACUAUCUUGAGAUCUUUCUUUAUCUAACAAAAAAUUUAUCCUAUAUUCACAUUUUCACUUUUUCAUCUAUACACAAAACACUACUUUCAUAAUUCUCAUGCCAAAAAAAAGGUCUCAAGAUAGUAGGAAUGAAGGGAGUAUUAAUUAAGAAGGUUCGAGAUAAAACCAACGCUCUCUCUUAUUAUAGUAUUUCUCUUUGAAAAACAACCUCACCUCACCCUUGAGAUAAUUAAAUUUUAAUGAUACAAUAACUAUUCAUUGUAUUUUUUAUCUUACUUUUAUUAAUCAAUUCAUUUUCAAAUAUUAAUAUCAAACAAGUGCUUAGUUUGUUCGGUAUGAGUUUUAAUAAAUGUUAGGUGAAUGUGUUGUAAGUGGGGAAAGUGAGGAUAAAAUAAUAAGGCAUUAGUGGUAGGAUCAUGUCAAAAAAUGGGCUCUUCAUAUUCUUCUGAGACGGACGAACAAGAAAAGUGAGCAAUGAGCAUACUCCGCUGUGAGAGAGGGAGUAUAUUUUGGCUUUUUUAAUUUUUUUUUAAUUUUUUUUUAAGAUUGAUAAUUUUUAGAAUGGAUCUUUUUCCUAACAACUUAUUUUCUUUUCUUUUAAUCUAGUUCGUGAUAAUAUUAUUAUGGAGUAUACAUAUAUAUGAUAAGUAUGGUAUUUUUUUGAGGGUACAUGUUUGUGUAUUAAAAUGAAGAAAGAUGCUCAUCAAAAUUACAUUGUUAGAUAAUUAAUAAAUAAUUUGUUAAAUAAUUUUUUUGUAAAUAUUAUAUAUGAAUGAAGUAAAAAAUAAAGAUAUACUACUUCAUCCGUUCAUUAUAAAACUUUCUAUGUUUUUCUUUUUGAAACGUCCAUGAAAAAACUUCAUAUUAUAUUUUUGGAUUAUACCCCAUUUAUUCUAACUUUUCACAUUUUCACUACUCUAAUACUAAUUACAAUACAUUUUUACUACUUUCAAUACACUCAACAACCUCAUUUUAAAACUCAUGUUACUUCCUCCUUUUUUUUUUCUUUUUUUUAUCAUGAACAUAGGAAGUAUGUCUUAAAAUAUAAUGAUUAUACCCCUUCGUCCACGAAAAAGAGUCAUAUUUUUUCAUUUUCUCUUGUCCAUGAAAAAUAAUCUUAUUUUACUUUUUGAACCACCAAAUUCUACCUUCUCUCCUAUAUUUAAGUAUAAAUUAUAUUUUUAUUCUAUUUUUUAAUUAAGAAUAUACCUUUUUUAUUUUUUUGUACCUAUAUUGCCUCUAUAUAUAAAUUAUAUAUUUAUUUUACUUGCAACAAUUUUAAUAAUUUUAUUAAAAUUUAUAUUCAUUUUUAAACGGGAUUUUUUAAUACACGAGGGGAGUAUUUAUUAUGGACCGAGGAAAAUUACGAGUGACACUUGUGUGGAUUGAUAAAUUAUUAAGAUUUGAGUUCUUUCCGUACAGAACUUUAAUAACAAUGUUGCAUAUAUUUUUGCAAUCCUUAGAUUUUUGAUCGCGCAUUGAUUGCACACGUGCAUGUAUUCCACGUGCAUGUAUUCCGACCUUUAAGUUUCGAUUGGUUGUUUAUGUACUCCUUGAAUAUAUGAUUGAAUGUCGGAAAUGCUGGUAAAAAUAAUAUUUUUAUUUACAAUAAAUCUAUCUAUGCAGUCACGUUGUGGUCACCCACAAACUACUAUAAUAAGAAAAUUUUUGAUUGAUUUAAUUUAUUUUUUUAAAUAAAAAUAGGAUUUAAUUAUUUUAUUAUAUUCUUUAUAUUGUACUUAUUUUUUUAAAAAAAAUUUAUUUGAAAUUUAUUUUUUAAUAAAAAUAAAAAAGUUACCAAAAAAUUGCAAAAAAAUAACUACAAUGUAGAGAAUAUGAUAAAAUAACUAAAUCUUGUUUUUCUAUUUAGGUAAAUUGUGGGUGGCCACAAUGUGGCUGUUUAGCGUUACUCUUUUAUUUAUCCGAAUGUGUAGCACAAUUGGUUUGAACCCGCGCCUUCCGUAUCAAGGUUGCAGGUCCGAUCCUCAUUGCAGGUGAAAUUUUCUGUUCUUUCAUGCUUUCCAACUCAUUCAUUUUUUGUUCUUUAUACAUAAAAUAUCUAGACUUAAUUUAUAAAUUAUCUAUAUUUAUAAUGUAUUUACAUAUCAUAAAUAUACAAUUACUUUAUACGACGUUAAUUUAUACACUAAGUGUAAGGUUCGUAAUUUAUUGAAUGCAUAUAGUUUUUCAUUCUCAUUUUAAAUAAAUGUUCUGAUUUAAACCACGUCAUGUAUAUAUAUAUAGGGGAGGGCUACAGUGAAAACACUUCUUAAAAUAUAUAUAUAAACGUUUUUUAAUGUACGAAUUUUAUCCAACAGAGUUACGAAUUCAUCCAACAUGAUUACGAAUUGUGAAAAAUAAAUUUUUGUUACCUUUUGGAUUCGAACUCAGGACCACGAAUUCAUCCAACAAGGUUACGAAUCAACCGUAGAUCUUGAUGAUCUAAGGGCUGAAAAUCAUUUAUAUUUUAUAAAUUUAAGAGUGUUUUUAUUAUAGCCCUCCCCUAUAUAUAUACUAUAUAAUAUACUCCUUGUGUCCAUGAUAAAACUUUAUAGGAGGGAGUGAUACUGAUUUUAAAACGAGGUUGUUAAAUAGAGUAACAUUUAUGACAAGAAAUACUUUUGUAAUGUGUAAUAAUAUAAAGGGUAAUUGGUGUAUAAAUAUAUGAACUUUAAUCACUUUUUGGUAUUUAAUAUGAACUUUAAUCUUAUUUAUAAAUACAUAACUUUAUUCACUAUUUGUAUUUAACAUGAACUUUUAAAACAUAUUUAUAAAUAAAUGAACUUUAAAUUUAUUCAAUUUUGACUUGUUUUUCAUUUUUCUCAAAUUAAAACUGACUUGGAAUGCAUAAAUUUCGACGUGGACGAUUCGGCGCUGAGAUAAGACAACAUUGCUUUUGGUUAGAGAAUAACAACCCAAAACUAAAAUAUGAAAGUGAACGAUAAAAAAUUGUCUACAAAUUUCACAAAUUCAGAAAGUGAAUUUCGUCUUUAAGAUUUCGGGAUUUUAGAAAGUCAAUUUCGUUAUUCAAAAAGCCAUAUUAAGAAAUAUAGAAUAUAAAAAAUGGGCCGAAAAUUGAAUGGUGAAGAUUAAUUUUUAUAGCGAGAAAUUGUCCACGUCCAGAUUCUGGCAUUCCAAGUCAGCUUUAACUUUGAGAAAAAUAAAAAACAAGUCAAAAAUUGAAUAAGUUUAAAGUUCAUGUAUUUAUAAUUAUAUUUUAAAGUUCAUGUUAAAUACCAAAAGUGAGUAAAAUUCAUGUAUUUAUAACUAGGAUUUAGAGUUCAUGUAUUUAUACACUAAUACACCAACAAGUGAGUAAAGUUUAUGUAUUUAUACACUAAUUACCCUAUUAUAAAAUAUCUUGUUACACGUUUUUUUUAUCGAUUUACAUGAUUUUGUAAAAGCAUGUAAUAGUGGUGAAAAAUGUGUAACAAUGUAUUUUGAACUAUUACACACUUUUACGAAAAAAUGUAUAGCUAUAAAAUACACUUUUACACGAUUUCACGAAAUUGUAAAAAUCGUGUAAAUGUAUUUUACACUGUCACGCACUUUUUUGCAAAAGUAUGUAAUAAUCAGUAGGAGGCGGCGAUCAUAAAGAUACGGCGACAAUGUUAAUUAUAGCUGGAAAGCCGAGAGAGAGAGAGAGAGAAUGAAACCCUAGAGAUUGUGAAUUUCAGAUUGGACGAGAAGGCGACACUAGGACUCGCAAAAGACCAUAACGCUGACUGACCACAACGGUGCCAACUCUACCUAGAACUUUUUAAUGGAGUUCAAGGAGGGCGAGGCAGUGAUGCAGUUGAACCGCCUCAUCCUCAAUUUCAAGUUCGCCUACAAGGAAGUGUCCAACAACGACAAAGACGUCGGCGAGAUCGGCGUCCUUAUCAAAGAGCUUCUUGAUCCAACUUCUUCCGCUGUCCACAAGCUUUUCAACCAUCGAGAAAGAGACAGGGAAAGAUAUCUUGAGGCGAUGCUGCAGCAAAAGAUGGUAGGGAGAAUGUCGACGGCUAGGGUUCAAGGGAAUGGGGUGCGUAGGUUUGGGAGGGUGAUUUUUACAGAUUUUUUGAUUUUUAUUUUAAAAUUAUUAAAGGUAGAAUGUUAUACUCCCUCCAUCCAUCGAAAAUAGUCCUAGAAUGGAACGACACAGGUUUUAAUGAAAAUGGUUUAGUUUAUUGUAAGUGGAGAAAAGGUCUCACUUAAAAGGUAGUGUUAAUAAUAAUAAUUAAUUGUAUUGUGAGUGGAGAAAUUGGCGCACCAUGCGAUAGAAAGUUACCAAAAAUGGAAAGGGACUAAUUUUUGUGGACAUCCCAAAAUGGCAAAAAGAGACUAUUUUUUUAUGGACGGAUUGAGUAUUUACAUAAAAGACUAGUUUUUUUUUAAUUCUUUAUUUUCAUGGAUAUUUUUCUUUUUUCUUACUAAAUGAAAGACAUAAAUUGACC
RNAcentral lists this long non-coding RNA (18162 nucleotides) under Salvia miltiorrhiza (redroot sage). Its description in RNAcentral is "long non-coding RNA (SMIL_LNC005525)". The stretch from base 1892 to 1965 matches the Rfam family "tRNA". The record is from RNAcentral. Lineage: Eukaryota; Viridiplantae; Streptophyta; Magnoliopsida; Lamiales; Lamiaceae.